RNAcentral lists this non-coding RNA (75 nucleotides) under Solemya velesiana. Its description in RNAcentral is "SAH sequence". It matches the Rfam family "SAH (S-adenosyl-L-homocysteine) riboswitch aptamer". Lineage: Eukaryota; Metazoa; Mollusca; Bivalvia; Solemyida; Solemyidae. The record is from RNAcentral. RNAcentral also lists the same sequence under 1 other name.
UCUCCCGAGGAGCGCUGCAGCGGAAUCUCCGUCAGGCUCGGGAAAGAUUGAUCUUCUUAACGGCGCUCCCAAACG